Molecule: microRNA, 23 nt
Filed under: Ananas comosus (pineapple)
Lineage: Eukaryota; Viridiplantae; Streptophyta; Magnoliopsida; Poales; Bromeliaceae
Description: microRNA s0893_c118a
Source: RNAcentral
CGGUUGAGGAAGAUAAUGGAAGA